Molecule: ribosomal RNA, 292 nt
Filed under: uncultured bacterium
Lineage: Bacteria
Description: partial 16S ribosomal RNA
Rfam family: Bacterial small subunit ribosomal RNA
Source: RNAcentral
GUGCCAGCCGCCGCGGUAAGACGGAGGGUGCAAACGUUGUUCGGAAUCACUGGGCGUAAAGGGCGCGCAGGCGGACUCGUAAGUCGGGAGUGAAAACUCGGGGCUCAACCCCGAGCCUGCUUCCGAAACUGCGAGUCUUGAGGACCGGAGAGGAAGGCGGAAUUCCCAGUGUAGCGGUGGAAUGCGUAGAUAUUGGGAAGAACACCAGUGGCGAAGGCGGCCUUCUGGACGGUACCUGACGCUGAGGCGCGAAAGCUAGGGGAGCAAACAGGAUUAGAAACCCGCGUAGUCC